AGAAGGUGGGUCACUAGAGAUAAAUACCCUUCAUUCUGGAGAGGAGAAGGUGGGUCACUAGAGAUAAAUACCCUUCAUUCUGGAGAGGAGAAGGUGGGUCACUAGAGAUAAAUACCCUUCAUUCUGGAGAGGAGAAGGUGGGUCACUAGAGAUAAAUACCCUUCAUUCUGGAGAGGAGAAGGUGGGUCACUAGAGAUAAAUACCCUUCAUUCUGGAGAGGAGAAGGUGGGUCACUAGAGAUAAAUACCCUUCAUUCUGGAGAGGAGAAGGUGGGUCACUAGAGAUAAAUACCCUUCAUUCUGGAGAGGAG
Long non-coding RNA from Oncorhynchus keta (chum salmon), 310 nucleotides. RefSeq lists it as uncharacterized. The transcript has 3 exons. NCBI's taxonomy places the organism in Eukaryota, Metazoa, Chordata, Actinopteri, Salmoniformes, Salmonidae. The record is from RefSeq and is a predicted model, not a curated record.